Molecule: transfer RNA, 68 nt
Filed under: Cricetulus griseus (Chinese hamster)
Lineage: Eukaryota; Metazoa; Chordata; Mammalia; Rodentia; Cricetidae
Rfam family: tRNA
About the family: Transfer RNA (tRNA) molecules are approximately 80 nucleotides in length. Their secondary structure includes four short double-helical elements and three loops (D, anti-codon, and T loops).
Source: Rfam by way of RNAcentral
AGAGAAGUAGCUCAGUGGUUAGAGCACAGCUCUUGUUGAGGGCCUGGGUUUGAUUCCCAGCAUCUGUA